AGAAGAAAGACGCAAAGGGAGCAGUAGGAAGAGGGAUAGGGAAAAAAAGGUUGGUUAAAAUUACACGGCGAUCGCCAAAGAGAGAGCACGCAACUGGCGCCUCCGCUUUCGCGGUCGCUGGUCGCGAGGCGGGUGCGCGCGUCGUCGCCGUCCGAUCAGAGCGAUUCGCAACAGCAUGCGCGUGGUCCAGACCAGGCGCUCACCAUGGUCGCUGACGUCGUCAUCAUUGUCGUCGGUGCGGGCGCUGGCGACGUCUGUGUCUCUGCCUUGCUCCGCUGGAAGAAGUUCGCUGCCGUCGCCUUGGGCGUUUUGAUCUCGAAUAUCGGGUGCACUAAUAGUAUGCGUGGCCGACCGACUCGGCUGCCGGUCAAUCUGCUGUCGUCGCUGUUGUCGUCCUUGCAUAGGGUCUACUGCCUCUGCGUUGCCAUUGCGAUCGCUCGCGUCGCCGCAAAAGGCCACAGACAAAGGGGCGGCGCCGGCGUCGCACGGCGUUUCGUCGGGGUCGUUCCGGGCCGCGGCCUCGUCGGCCCAACCAGGGCAUUCGCACGGACGCGGCGCAGGUUGGUACGGAUGGAGGACGGCCUGUGCAUAGGCCAAGUGCGGGAGCCGCCGCGCGACUGCACAGGCAAACGAUGCGGCUCGCGUCCCGUGGACGGCAUAGGCCAUGUCGACAGCGUGCUGCAUGACGCCGUCGCCAGCCACAUGACAGAGGUGACCAACCAUGAGCGUGUCUCUCAUGGGCAAAGCAGAGACGAUGAGUGCGCUGUCGAUCACAGCACCGCGUGAUAGCGCGAGGUCGAGCAUGGACACGGUCGACUUGGCCAUGAUCAGGCAGAGCGCGCCCUGCCAGUCAAAGGGCACCGUCAUCACACACUCGACGGCACGGACAGUGUCGGGCGCGCUGGUGACAAUCGCCCUCCACAUGACGUCGGCAUUAAAGAGCGAUGGGUCGCACGCCGCGAUCCACUCGACCACGCCCAGGCGAUUGCGCGGCAGCGCGGCAAACAGCAUGGCCUGUAGCGUGUCGCGAGGCACUGGGUGGCACGCGCAUUGCGGCAGUCGGCCGAGUUCCGAAAUCGAGUCGAUGAGUGCGGUGUGACCUCCCUGCGCGGCACCGAUGAGCACGGGCCAGCGGCACGACAAGAGGCCCGCAUCGAUGACGGCGUCGAUCGUGGCGGCGUGACCCGCACAUGCACACUCGCACACGGCCCUCCACAGGUCGUCGCGCUCCAGGUGCGGCGCCCCGUUGCUCAACAUCCACGUGGCCAUAAGGGAACGGCCUUGCCUGAUGGCGCGUGCUACGUCUUUGACGGUGCAUGGCCUAUAGGCGCUGCAAUUGUGACGGCGCGCCCAUUCGAUGACACUGGGAGACGCCAGAUGCCACGCCUGGUCGCCCAUGGCGACGUCGCAACACGGACGCGCAUCGGUGUGUGUCGAGCCAGCGUCGAGUUGAUGCAGGUAGGCAAUGACGCCGAGACUUUGCGCGUUGAACGCGCGGCGCAUCUUGUCCUCGCCGGUCAUAUCAACGGGUCCCGCACCAAAGAGCGGCGCGGUCGCGAGCCUAUCGAGUAUGUCGACGUUGUCGCCAUCGAUGGCCGAGCGAACGAGCCUGUCAACGAGCAAGGCGGCCGCCCGGCGUUUCUCUUGGCUACACACGCCGCUGUAGGACGCGGCACCACCGCCAUCGGCCGGCCCGUCCUCAUGUUUCGACAGACCGUUCGCCGCAGCACAUGCGCUAUCAAAGACAUCGACGUGUCCGUCAGCCGCCGCCGUCAGCAGCGCGCCGAUGAGCCAGCCGUGCGUCUCGGGGACCAGCAUGCGUGCCAUCGCGUCGAGCGUCACUGGGCGAUCGAUAUGACGCGCAAGGACAUCCACACCGUGCACGGUGUGUUCUCUGGCAGCCGGGCGGAACACGUGUUGCGCAUCGAGCACAGCUGCAAACUCGCCCAGUGUGUUUAUAGAGCGCGCGCUGCAUCCGGGCCUUUGCGCUGCAGUCGGGUCUCGCUCGGUGAUGCCCGAGUCUGUUUGCGGGCGCGCGUGCAUCCAAACGGCGUCGUCUGCGGGGAGCGUGUUGCGCAAUGCGUGGCUGAAAGGUGGCAAUCGUCCCUUGUCGUGGCUGGCCAGGCUCUAGCUGGGCGACGGGAAGAAAAAGAAAAGAGGAUGAUUGAGAAGGGGCGGCCGCCACGCGUUGGUGCGCUCUUGCGCCCAGUCCCGACCAAGGACAAACAUGCGGGCUCAUCCGGCGGUCACAAAUGCUACCAAUCACAAAAAACAUUCCAAAAAAACAAAUGGGCGGUCCGAUCCAGAAAAGAUUGACGUGCGAACCGUUGCCCAUGGCAGCUUUCUGGCCGCUCCUCUUUUCGUGCAGUCUGUUUUCGUAGCUGCUUUUUUCCUCAUUUCGACGCGUGCCAAGGAGG
RNAcentral lists this long non-coding RNA (2417 nucleotides) under Pandoravirus neocaledonia. RNAcentral's name for it is "hypothetical ncRNA". The record is from RNAcentral.